UGGGGAAUCUUGCACAAUGGGGGCAACCCUGAUGCAGCGACGCCGCGUGAGCGAUGAAGCCCUUCGGGGCGUAAAGCUCUUUCGACCGGAACGAUAAUGACGGUACCGGGAGAAGAAGCUGCGGCUAACUACGUGCCAGCAGCCGCGGUAAUACGUAGGCAGCAAGCGUUGUUCGGAGUUACUGGGCGUAAAGAGUGCGUAGGCGGUUUUCUAAGUUCGGUGUGAAGUCUCCCGGCUUAACUGGGAGGGUGCGCCGAAGACUGGGAAGCUGGAGUGUGGGAAAGGCAGGCGGAAUUCCUGGUGUAGCGGUGAAAUGCGUAGAUAUCAGGAGGAACACCGGCGGUGUAGACGGCUUGCUAGACCAUAACUGACGCUGAGGCACGAAAGCGUGGGUAGCAAACA
RNAcentral lists this ribosomal RNA (402 nucleotides) under uncultured bacterium. RNAcentral's name for it is "bacterial SSU rRNA". It matches the Rfam family "Bacterial small subunit ribosomal RNA", at positions 355 to 774 of the family's 1533-position model. The record is from RNAcentral.